UACGAAGGGGGCUAGCGUUGUUCGGAAUUACUGGGCGUAAAGGGCGCGUAGGCGGCCAUUCAAGUUAGGUGUGAAAGCCCUGGGCUCAACCUAGGAAUUGCACUUGAUACUGUUUGGCUUGAGUUCGGGAGAGGUGAGUGGAAUUCCCAGUGUAGAGGUGAAAUUCGUAGAUAUUGGGAAGAACACCGGUGGCGAAGGCGGCUCUCUGGACCGAUACUGACGCUGAGGCGCGAAAGCGUGGGGAGCAAACAGG
RNAcentral lists this ribosomal RNA (253 nucleotides) under uncultured bacterium. Its description in RNAcentral is "partial 16S ribosomal RNA". It matches the Rfam family "Bacterial small subunit ribosomal RNA", at positions 524 to 776 of the family's 1533-position model. The record is from RNAcentral.